RNAcentral lists this long non-coding RNA (259 nucleotides) under Carica papaya (papaya). Its description in RNAcentral is "long non-coding RNA (CPAP_LNC007745)". Lineage: Eukaryota; Viridiplantae; Streptophyta; Magnoliopsida; Brassicales; Caricaceae. The record is from RNAcentral.
CCGCCGAUCGAGGUAAAUUUCAUACCCCUGUCUCGUUUUUCAUACUGAGUUUCCUUGUGGCCAAAUCGGAGCCAAAAUCCCGGCCAAACGGCCGAAACUGCCGCGCCCCUCCUCGGUUUUUGCCUCCGAUGAGGCCCUUCUCGGCCUCCGUUUGAUACAAUUUUUAUAUCACCGUGAUCACCAUUCUUUUCUCUACAGGUUGAUCGGAGCCAAAUCACCAAAACACGAACCUCACCUGAGAGCUGCCGCACCCGAGAGC